AUAGCUCAACUAUUAGGCAUCGGGGAWACUGCCAGGCUUGAAACGGGAGAGGUAAGAGGUACUACAGGGUAGGAGUGAAAAUCUUGUAAUCCCUGUGGGACCACCUGUGGCGAAGGCGUCUUACCAGAACGGGUUCGACGGUGAGGGACGAAAGCUGGGGGCACGAACCGGAUUAGAUACCCGGGUAGUCCCAGCCGUAAACGAUGCUCGCUAGGUGUCAGGCAUGGCGCGACCGUGUCUGGUGCCGCAGGGAAGCCGUGAAGCGAGCCACCUGGGAAGUACGGCCGCAAGGCUGAAACUUAAAGGAAUUGGCGGGGGAGCAC
This 323-nucleotide ribosomal RNA is filed under the name uncultured Methanosarcina sp. RNAcentral describes it as "bacterial SSU rRNA". It matches the Rfam family "Archaeal small subunit ribosomal RNA", at positions 554 to 879 of the family's 1478-position model. Lineage: Archaea; Methanobacteriati; Methanobacteriota; Methanomicrobia; Methanosarcinales; Methanosarcinaceae. The record is from RNAcentral.